AUUGAACGCUGGCGGCAUGCUUUACACAUGCAAGUCGAACGGUAACAGGCCGCAAGGUGCUGACGAGUGGCGAACGGGUGAGUAAUGCAUCGGAACGUGCCCAGUCGUGGGGGAUAACUACUCGAAAGAGUAGCUAAUACCGCAUACGAUCUAUGGAUGAAAGCGGGGGACCGUAAGGCCUCGCGCGAUUGGAGCGGCCGAUGUCAGAUUAGGUAGUUGGUGGGGUAAAGGCUCACCAAGCCAACGAUCUGUAGCUGGUCUGAGAGGGCGACCAGCCACACUGGGACUGAGACACGGCCCAGACUCCUACGGGAGGCAGAAGUGGGGAAUUUUGGACAAUGGGCGCAAGCCUGAUCCAGCAAUGCCGCGUGCAGGAAGAAGGCCUUCGGGUUGUAAACUGCUUUUGUACGGAACGAAACGGCUCUGGUUAAUACCCGGGGCUAAUGACGGUACCGUAAGAAUAAGCACCGGCUAACUACGUG
Molecule: ribosomal RNA, 482 nt
Filed under: uncultured bacterium
Lineage: Bacteria
Description: partial 16S ribosomal RNA
Rfam family: Bacterial small subunit ribosomal RNA
Source: RNAcentral